CGAACGCUGGCGGCAUGCCUAACACAUGCAAGUCGAACGAACUCUUCGGAGUUAGUGGCGGACGGGUGAGUAACGCGUAGGAACCUGCCAAGCAGUGGGGAAUAACAGCUGGAAACGGCUGCUAAUACCGCAUACGCCCCUUCGGGGGGAAAGAUUUAUCGCUGUUUGAGGGUCCUGCGUUCGAUUAGCUAGUUGGUGAGGUAACGGCCCACCAAGGCGACGAUCGAUAGCUGGUCUGAGAGGAUGAUCAGCCACACUGGGACUGAGACACGGCCCAGACUCCUACGGGAGGCAGCAGUGGGGAAUAUUGGACAAUGGGGGGAACCCUGAUCCAGCAAUGCCGCGUGCGUGAAGAAGGCCUUAGGGUUGUAAAGCGCUUUCACCUGUGAUGAUGAUGACAGUAACAGGAGAAGAAGCCCCGGCUAACUCC
This 430-nucleotide ribosomal RNA is filed under the name uncultured bacterium. Its description in RNAcentral is "bacterial SSU rRNA". It matches the Rfam family "Bacterial small subunit ribosomal RNA", at positions 30 to 504 of the family's 1533-position model. The record is from RNAcentral.